GACGAACGCUGGCGGCGUGCUUAAUACAUGCAAGUAGAACGCUGAAGGAGGAGCUUGCUUCUCUGGAUGAGUUGCGAACGGGUGAGUAACGCGUAGGUAACCUGCCUGGUAGCGGGGGAUAACUAUUGGAAACGAUAGCUAAUACCGCAUAAGAGUAGAUGUUGCAUGACAUUUGCUUAAAAGGUGCAAUUGCAUCACUACCAGAUGGACCUGCGUUGUAUUAGCUAGUUGGUGGGGUAACGGCUCACCAAGGCGACGAUACAUAGCCGACCUGAGAGGGUGAUCGGCCACACUGGGACUGAGACACGGCCCAGACUCCUACGGGAGGCAGCAGUAGGGAAUCUUCGGCAAUGGACGGAAGUCUGACCGAGCAACGCCGCGUGAGUGAAGAAGGUUUUCGGAUCGUAAAGCUCUGUUGUAAGAGAAGAACGAGUGUGAGAGUGGAAAGUUCACACUGUGACGGUAUCUUACCAGAAAGGGACGGCUAACUACGUGCCAGCAGCCGCGGUAAUACGUAGGUGGCAAGCGUUAUCCGGAUUUAUUGGGCGUAAAGAGAGUGCAGGCGGUUUUCUAAGUCUGAUGUGAAAGCCUUCGGCUUAACCGGAGAAGUGCAUCGGAAACUGGAUAACUUGAGUGCAGAAGAGGGUAGUGGAACUCCAUGUGUAGCGGUGGAAUGCGUAGAUAUAUGGAAGAACGCCAGUGGCGAAGGCGGCUACCUGGUCUGCAACUGACGCUGAGACUCGAAAGCAUGGGUAGCGAACAGG
Molecule: ribosomal RNA, 764 nt
Filed under: uncultured Streptococcus sp.
Lineage: Bacteria; Bacillati; Bacillota; Bacilli; Lactobacillales; Streptococcaceae
Description: bacterial SSU rRNA
Rfam family: Bacterial small subunit ribosomal RNA
Source: RNAcentral